UUUGUCCGGUUGCUAAGACAGAAAGCCCGCCACAAACUAAGGGCAAAUGUUAUGCUAUUCAGCCGAAAAAUUGAACUAAAGUCUCGCUUUCUCUACUUACUACUUACUGAUGAUAAGAUUUUAAAUAAAAUAUCUGUGAUAUGCUUUUGAAGCUGCCAGAUCAAUCAUUGCCUGCCUAUAUACAUAUUUCAUUCAGUUAUUAAUAUUUUUUUAAAUUAAAUUAGUAAGAUAAGAUUGCAAUAUGGCAAGAGGAGCAUUUAUAGUAAUAGAAGGAUGCGACAGGAGCGGAAAAUCAACUCAAUGUAAAUUAUUAGUACAAGGAUUAAAUAAUUCUGGGAUCAAAGCGAAAAACAUUAGUUUUCCAGAUCGAUCGACUGAAAUUGGAAAAGUGAUUGAUUCGUAUUUGACGAAAAAAAUUGAGUUGCCAGAUCAGGCCAUUCAUUUACUGUUUUCAGCCAAUAGAUGGGAAUUGAAUGAUAUGAUGAAGCAACAAUUAGAAGAUGGAACGACUCUUGUUGUUGAUAGAUACAGUUAUUCAGGCGUUGCUUACUCCGCAUCAAAAUCGACUCAUAAUAUGGACAUUGAAUGGUUCAAAGCACCUGAAAUGGGUUUAUUGAAGCCAGAUGCUGUUUUCUUCUUACACCUUGAUAACGAUGUGGCUAAACAAAGAAAUGGAUUUGGAAAAGAAAGAUAUGAAAACAAAGAUAUUCAAAACAGAGUUGCCAAAUUUUUUAAAUCCUUUGAAAAAUUUGAUGAAUGGCAGGUAAUUGAUGCCAAUAAAACGGUUGAUCAAUUAAGAGAUCAGUUGAUGACUUUGGCUAAAAACUUAAUCGAAGAGAAAAAGUCAAAAUCUCUAAAUGUGUUAUGAUUAUAUGGGGUAAAAAAAUUGAAAACAAGAUGGCUAGAAGUUGAAAACAGACAGGAUAAGCAGAUAGAAUUGACCGAACUACAAAUUUGUCAUCCUAAGAGGAAAUCUCACAAUGUAACAUAAUGUGAUAUGUAGUUUUGUGCCUUCUGGUGUUUACAACUGAAAAUGUCAACAUACCAAAACAUUUGACAAACUACACCAGCAAGGAUGGUCAGAUCACAAUGAUCAGACACGACGAAAAUACAGGCUAAUAUGUUAUCGUGAGAAAUUCUUUCAAUCAUUUUGGACUCUGGUACACCAUUUUAGUCUGAAAAAUCUAGACCAACUUCGUGGCAGGUAAAUCAAAAUGUCCUAAAAUGACUAAACUAUCAUAUCAUCUUGUAUCACUUGGUUUAUCAUCUUAUAGAUCAAAAGAGGAAAUCUCACAACUUAAUGUAAUAUGAUGAUUUCUCCCAAGGGGACGACCAGGCAUGGAGUAGACCAAACUUUUU
This is an RNA transcript of Cimex lectularius (bed bug), 1359 nucleotides long. It is a transcript of the gene named thymidylate kinase, with no coding region annotated. The record is from RefSeq and is a predicted model, not a curated record. The transcript has 8 exons. Lineage: Eukaryota; Metazoa; Arthropoda; Insecta; Hemiptera; Cimicidae.